Non-coding RNA from Podarcis lilfordi (Lilford's wall lizard), 76 nucleotides. NCBI's taxonomy places the organism in Eukaryota, Metazoa, Chordata, Lepidosauria, Squamata, Lacertidae. The record is from the annotation of a GenBank genome assembly.
GGAGACAUAGCUCAAUGGUUAGAGCAUCUGCUUUGCAUGCAGAAGAGCCCAGGUUUAAUCUCAGUUUCCAUCUCCA